RNAcentral lists this long non-coding RNA (468 nucleotides) under Gallus gallus (chicken). The record is from RNAcentral. Lineage: Eukaryota; Metazoa; Chordata; Aves; Galliformes; Phasianidae.
GCCCCAUCGUCUUUUGGUUCGCUUGAGAACUGUAUCUCGAGCAUGCCUAGUCUUCUUUUUUUCAUCUGUCUCCAAGUCAAUAAGUAUUUUCUUUUCUACGUGUUCUUGAAGAUCUUUAAGUAAUAUGGUAAAAGUCCUUUUCUCAUCAGAUAAAGAAACAGCAGAUGUUGUAUACACGGAACCAUCUUCCAGAACUUUGAAACUCCCAUCACUGGAACUGAUGUGUUCUGCAGACUGAAGGCACUCAUUUAUAUUAACUCUGCCAACCAAUGUGUCGGCCUCGAGCACAGAGGGAACAUGAAAAGUGACUUUCUUGCAAGCGUCACAGCACAAGCUCAAUACCAGGAGACCGAGGACGAGGCGGGGGGCUGCGCGGGCCAUGCUGCGCGGCGGGGCAGCGGCGAGGAGUGCGUGUCCCGGCGGCGGGCCGUCUCCCUCUGUCCCCUCCCGUCUGCCCGAUGAGCCGGC